RNAcentral lists this ribosomal RNA (253 nucleotides) under uncultured bacterium. Its description in RNAcentral is "partial 16S ribosomal RNA". It matches the Rfam family "Bacterial small subunit ribosomal RNA", at positions 524 to 776 of the family's 1533-position model. The record is from RNAcentral.
UACGGAGGGGGCGAGCGUUGUCCGGAUUUAUUGGGUUUAAAGGGUGCGUAGGCGGCUUGGUAAGUCUGGGGUGAAAGCCCGCCGCUCAACAGCGGAACUGCCCUGGAUACUGCCGGGCUUGAGCACAGGAGAGGUUGGUGGAAUGGACGGUGUAGCGGUGAAAUGCAUAGAUACCUUCCAGAACACCGAUUGCGAAGGCAGCUGACUAGACUGUAGCUGACGCUGAGGCACGAAAGCGUGGGUAGCGAACAGG